UCCACACCAUGGACGGUUUACCACUUCUGUG
Molecule: non-coding RNA, 31 nt
Filed under: Homo sapiens (human)
Lineage: Eukaryota; Metazoa; Chordata; Mammalia; Primates; Hominidae
Source: RNAcentral